This is a non-coding RNA of Triticum aestivum (bread wheat), 125 nucleotides long. NCBI's taxonomy places the organism in Eukaryota, Viridiplantae, Streptophyta, Magnoliopsida, Poales, Poaceae. The record is from Rfam.
UUUGUACUCCCUCCGUCCGCAAAUACUUGUUGGAGAAAUGAAUAAAAAUGGAUGUAUCUAGAACUAAAAUACGUCUAGAUACAUCCAUUUCUCCGACAAGUAUUUCUGGACGGAGGGAGUAGGAU